RNAcentral lists this unclassified non-coding RNA (1637 nucleotides) under Hevea brasiliensis (rubber tree). Lineage: Eukaryota; Viridiplantae; Streptophyta; Magnoliopsida; Malpighiales; Euphorbiaceae. The record is from RNAcentral.
UGUUGAGAAGUGUUUGAGGGAUGCUAAGAUGGAUAAGAGCACCGUACAUGAUGUUGUCCUUGUUGGUGGCUCCACUAGGAUUCCAAAGGUGCAGCAGCUGUUGCAAGAUUUCUUCAACGGAAAAGAGCUUUGCAAGAGUAUCAAUCCUGAUGAAGCCGUUGCUUAUGGUGCUGCUGUCCAGGCUGCAAUCUUGAGUGGUGAAGGCAAUGAGAAGGUGCAGGAUCUGCUUCUCUUGGAUGUCACUCCGCUGUCCCAGGGUCUGGAAACUGCUGGUGGUGUCAUGACUGUUCUGAUCCCAAGGAACACUACAAUUCCAACCAAGAAGGAGCAAGUUUUCUCUACCUACGCAGACAAUCAACCUGGUGUGUUGAUCCAGGUUUAUGAGGGCGAGAGAACAAGAACUAGAGACAACAACUUGCUGGGCAAAUUUGAGCUCUCAGGCAUUCCUCCUGCACCAAGGGGUGUUCCACAAAUCACUGUGUGCUUUGAUAUUGAUGCCAAUGGUAUCUUAAACGUUUCUGCAGAGGAUAAGACCACUGGCCAGAAGAACAAGAUUACCAUCACUAACGAUAAGGGAAGGUUGUCCAAGGAAGAAAUUGAGAAAAUGGUUCAGGAGGCUGAAAAGUACAAAUCUGAAGAUGAGGAGCACAAGAAGAAGGUCGAGGCAAAGAAUGCCUUGGAGAAUUAUGCCUACAACAUGAGGAACACUGUUAAGGAUGAAAAGAUCAGUUCGAAGUUGGAUGCUUCUGACAAGAAGAAGAUUGAGGAUGCCAUUGAACAAACCAUUCAUUGGCUAGACAGCAAUCAGCUGGCAGAGGCGGAUGAAUUUGAGGACAAGAUGAAAGAGCUUGAGAGUCUCUGCAAUCCCAUAAUUGCCAAGAUGUAUCAAGGUGCUGAUGCUGGCAUGGGUGGAGGCAUGGAUGAUGAUGCUCCUCCGGCAGGUGGCAGUGGUGCAGGUCCCAAAAUUGAGGAAGUUGAUUAAGCAUUGUGGGUGAUCUUUUAAAGCAAUGGUGAUGAAAAUUCAUAUUGCCUUUCUGUUGGCAAUGAUUUUGUUGUGUUUGUUUCUGUUGUUAAGUAGUAUGGUAGACAUUGUCUUCUUAUCCUUAGUAGAUUUAUAUAUUGGCUGAAUGCCAUUUACGGGACAAAUUUCGCUGAUGCUAUAUUAGUAGCUUCUUGCUUUGUUGAAACAACAACAUCCGCUGCAUAUUUUUUUUCCCAACAUGCUUUUGUGUUAUGCUAGACGUUCUAAUGUUUCAUUGCUUAAUAUCAAGUAAUAAACCAUCAAAAGUAGUUGUUUUAGUAUGUUUUAGGUCAUAAUUUUAAAAAUUAUUUAUCACGUGUAAAAUGUCUUUGCUUACGGCCGAGUGAUUUGAAUUGCUCUAGCCCGGUCAGUCUCCUCUCCUUUCGCCACCCUCUAUAGCUCCUUUUCUCCCUUUCUUUGAUCCCCAUUUUCAAGUAUGAGGUCCGGUGAACUUGUGGAAUGCGUGUGUGUGUAUUCUUUGUUAUAAAAUGUGGUUUACAAUUUGUAUUUUGGUGUUUUUAUUGGAUAUAUGGUUGAUUUGAUUAGCCCGCAUCUAUGGUGUUUGUGUUCCCUUUUUUUUUAUAAUUUUAUUUUAAAUAAAACGUCCAGAUUCUUG